Molecule: long non-coding RNA, 1084 nt
Organism: Symphalangus syndactylus (siamang)
Lineage: Eukaryota; Metazoa; Chordata; Mammalia; Primates; Hylobatidae
Source: RefSeq, a predicted model, not a curated record
AACCUCUAAAGUAAAUCAACAAGAAGCCAUAAUUAAAGAAGGCAUCACACUGACCUCUCUGCACAUUAAACACCAGAAGACAGUGGAGUAAUGUUACAGAACUUAGGGUUCUCCUUGCUACUGCAGAGGAAGGAAUGGUGUAAAGCACUGAAAAGAUUAAAGGGCCAAAUUCAUCAGAACUCUCCAAAUCCUCUCAAUAUAGCAGUGGCUAAUUUUGGGAAGGUUCUUUAAUGAAAUGCUUUUACACGGCACAGCUUAUUACAGGAAACCUCUCUACAAAGCCAUGAAUGUGUGCCUUACCUUGUGAUUCAGGAAUUGCUAAGUAACUACAUAAAAAGAUGUGUAUAAGGAUGUUGAUCAUGGAGUUGCUUAACUUCGUGUCAAAUAGUGCUUCCAUUUUUAUUUUUAAAAAAAUUUAAGGAUCUUAGGACAGAAAAGAAGAGGAAGAGCAAAAAUUAAAAUGUUGCUGAUGAUUGUCUCUGAGUAGGAAAAUCAUGCGAUAAGAGCUCUUUGUAAUUCUCUAACUUUUCUGCACUGUAACUGAAUUACACUUGUAAUGACAAAGGAAAAACAAAUCCUCACAAUGAGAAGGAUUACAACAACUUGUGUUCCUCACAACAAGGAAGGCUUACAUUCAAUUUUUGGUUUUGCUUUUUUGUUUUUAAGAUAUCUGACCAUAUCUUAUUCAUUCUCCAAAACCACUUAUGAAUCCUAAAAACAUAAGCAAAAUUAUAUGGAUAGGACAUUCACUUUCAAUGAAUUAAUUUAGUAUAUAAAACUGAAUAUAUACAUAAAGUAUGUGUUAUCUCUACACACUGUACACUACAGUGGGACUCUGCAUAAUUACUGCAUGAAGAACAUGUACGUUUCCUUUUUUAAGACUCUUUUAGGGAUUCUGUGGUAGAGCAGAAAGUGACCUCUGUGCUCCCGCAGCACCUCACGUUCAUCACUAUCAUGGUACCUAGCACACUUGCACGAUUUUAAGUUUCUCUCCUGACAAACUCUGACUCCAGAAUUUAUGUUAGCACAGUGCCUGGCACACAGUUGACACUUAGUAAAUACUGGAUGCAUUGAUGGAUGGAUG